CCUACGGGGGGCAGCAGUGAGGAAUAUUGGUCAAUGGGCGCAAGCCUGAACCAGCCAAGUCGCGUGAGGGAUGACGGUCCUAUGGAUUGUAAACCUCUUUUGUCGGGGAGCAAGGCCCGCCACGUGUGGCGUUUUGCGAGUACCUGAAGAAAAAGCAUCGGCUAACUCCGUGCCAGCAGCCGCGGUAAUACGGAGGAUGUGAGCGUUAUCCGGAUUUAUUGGGUUUAAAGGGUGCGCAGGCGGAAUGUAAAGUCAGCGGUAAAAUUUCGGGGCUCAACCCCGUCGUGCCGUUGAAACUGGCGUUCUUGAGUGAGCGAGAAGUAGGCGGAAUUCGUGGUGUAGCGGUGAAAUGCAUAGAUAUCACGCAGAACUCCGAUUGCGAAGGCAGCAUACCGGCGCUCAACUGACGCUCAUGCACGAAAGCGUGGGUAUCGAACAGGAUUAGAUACCCGGGUAGUC
This 459-nucleotide ribosomal RNA is filed under the name uncultured bacterium. Its description in RNAcentral is "partial 16S ribosomal RNA". It matches the Rfam family "Bacterial small subunit ribosomal RNA", at positions 338 to 795 of the family's 1533-position model. The record is from RNAcentral.